CAGGGCAACGGGGGAACGCCUGGUUGUGUCUCCAGUAUGAGGUUGUUGGAUGAAGAAACGGAAGCUCCCUAUCUGCAGACAGGACACCAGACAGUGUGGCGGGGGAACGCCUGGUUGUAUCCCCAGUAUGAGGUUGUUGGAUGAAGAAACGGAAGCUCCCUAUCUGCAGACAGGAAACCAGACAGUGUGGCCGGGGAACGCCUGGUUGUGUCUCCAGUAUCAGGUUGUUGGAUUUGUUUGGGUGGAUGAAGAACUGGAAGCUCCCUAUCUGCAGACAGGACUAACUACAACAAUACAUUCCUGCUGGAACCUGUAGUGGAACUUUAUCGCCACCCUGUGGACAUAACUCUACAGAUAGCAGGUCCAGAAAACACUUCUACUGAAAUAUAUAAAGUGUCCACAAGAUGGCAACAUGUCUGGUGAAAGACCCGCACACAGUGCAUCAACUCAUGUAACAACAUGCACCAAAAAAUAUUGGAAUAUGAGUCGCGUUUUCCUAGUGGCUUGUUUCUGCGUUUUCUUUUGAUUUCCCAUCACGAUCCAGUGUUUAAGAAAGGUGAACGGAGUUGAAUAGUUGUAACGUUAUAGAUGGAUGGGCCGUUCUCCCCGUGUGAUGUUCUUGUCCUAUAAUGGAACAGCAUAACAUAGGUUAGGGAUUAAUUCAAUGGAACAACUGGUCAUUACUCGACAGAUUAUCAUCUUUAGGUUCUCUGGGUAGGCAAAGUGAAAAGGGGGCGUGCCGAACGGUUUCGCCCGGUAAUAAUACACGGACACGGGUACUUUGAGGACUGGCUUCACGGAGAUCCACGGUAACAGACAGUGCAUGGGCACAAUCUAUUUAGAAAACAGGAGCACGUACCACUCUGAUGCAGAAGCGUCCAGUCAGUCCCUGCUGGAGGUCUGUCUGACUCCUGGACACCCUCAGCCUUUUCAUCAUUGGAUUCAAGCACACUGUGUUCCCGGGUGUUUUGACAGACCUGAAAAAGCAGAUCCGUAUGGUUCUGAUGUCAUGAAGGAGCAUGAGGAUGACCCGGAGAUAUUAGUUGACCUGCAGCAGUCUGGCCAAGUCCUACGCCUCCACGCCCGAGCUACGCAAGGCCUGGCUGGACAACAUGCCACGCAUCACAGCAAGAACCACAGACCUACCUGAGGUAGGUUUCAUACAGCUAACCCUGACCCCUGGCCUGAGGUAGGCUUCAUACAGCUAACCCUGACCCCUGACCUGAGGUAGGCUUCAUACAGCUAACCCUGACCCCUGACCUGAGGUAGGUUUCAUACAGCUAACCCUGACCCCUGGCCUGAGGUAGGCUUCAUACAGCUAACCCUGACCCCUGACCUGAGGUAGGCUUCAUACAGCUAACCCUGACCCCUGACCUGAGGUAGGUUUCAUACAGCUAACCCUGACCCCUGGCCUGAGGUUGGCUUCAUACAGCUAACCCUGACCCCUGAUCUGAGGUAGGCUUCAUACAGCUAACCCUGACCCCUGACCUGAGGUAGGCUUCAUACAGCUAACUCUGACCCCUGACCUGAGGUAGGCUUCAUACAGCUAACCCUGACCCCUGACCUGAGGUAGGCUUCAUACAGCUAACCCUGACCUCUGACCUGAGGUAGGCAUCAUACAGCUAACCCUGACCCCUGACCUGAGGUAGGCUUCAUACAGCUAACCCUGACCCCUGACCUGAGGUAGGCUUCAUACAGCUAACGCUGACCCCUGACCUGAGGUAGGUGUCAUACAGCUAACCCUGACCCCUGACCUGAGGUAGGCUUCAUACAGCUAACCCUGACCCCUGACCUGAGGUAGGCUUCAUACAGCUAACCCUGACCCCUGACCCUUGACCUGAGGUAGGCGUCAUACAGCUAACCCUGACCCCUGACCUGAGGUAGACUUCAUACAGCUAACCCUGACCCCUGAC
Long non-coding RNA from Oncorhynchus tshawytscha (Chinook salmon), 1913 nucleotides. RefSeq lists it as uncharacterized. The record is from RefSeq and is a predicted model, not a curated record. NCBI's taxonomy places the organism in Eukaryota, Metazoa, Chordata, Actinopteri, Salmoniformes, Salmonidae. The transcript has 3 exons.